CAGCCCCUCGAGUGGUGGGGAUGAUUAUUUGGCCUAAAGCGUCCGUAGCCGGCCGAGUAAGUCCCCCGUUAAAUCCAGCGUCUCAAGCGUUGGACUGCGGGAGAUACUACUUGGCUAGAGAGUGGGAGAGGUCAGCGGUAUUCUGGGGGUAGGGGCGAAAUCCUUUGAUCCCCGGAGGGCCACCAGUGGCGAAGGCUGCUGACUAGAACACGUCUGACGGUCAGGGACGAAAGCUGGGGUAGCGAACCGGAUUAGAUACCCGAGUAGUCC
RNAcentral lists this ribosomal RNA (270 nucleotides) under uncultured archaeon. RNAcentral describes it as "partial 16S ribosomal RNA". It matches the Rfam family "Archaeal small subunit ribosomal RNA", at positions 477 to 747 of the family's 1478-position model. The record is from RNAcentral.